CUACGGCCACACUGUCCUGAACACGCCUGAUCUUGUCUGAGAUCUCAGAAGCUAAGUAGGGUUGGGCCCAGUUAGUACCUGGACAGGAGAAAUUGACAGUCUAAUAGA
Molecule: ribosomal RNA, 108 nt
Filed under: Propithecus coquereli (Coquerel's sifaka)
Lineage: Eukaryota; Metazoa; Chordata; Mammalia; Primates; Indriidae
Source: RNAcentral